Molecule: long non-coding RNA, 1861 nt
Filed under: Homo sapiens (human)
Lineage: Eukaryota; Metazoa; Chordata; Mammalia; Primates; Hominidae
Description: HSALNT0038860
Source: RNAcentral
CCUCCCAAAGGCCCCACCUCCUAACACCAUCACAGUGCAGGGUAGAAUGUCAACAUUGGAAUUUUAGGGAGACACAAAUAUUCAGUCCAUAACAGAUGGCCAUGUCUUACUCCCCCAGAUCUGUGGAUGUGACCUCACAUGCCAAAAGGACCUUUGCAGAUGUGGUGAAGAUACGGACCUUGAGAGGGAUGGUUAUCCUGGAUUACCAGGGCGGGCACAAUGGUCCCUGUUAGAGGAAAGCAGGAGGUCACAGGGAAUAGAAGAUGCUAUUCUGUGGUUUUGAAAAUGGAGGAAAGGGGUGAGCCACAAGCCAAGGAAUGUGAGCACCCUUGGAGCCUUCCAAAGGAACAAUUCCUACUGAUGCCUUGAUUUUAGCCCCAGGGAACUCAUUCCUGACUUCAAGAUACAGAAUGCAAACACAGAAGACUACACUUCCCGUUGCCCCUGCAGUUUGGUGGGGUCAUAUGACUAAUUCUGGCCAAUGAAAUAGGGCACAGGUGACACCUCCCUUUAGCCCGAGGCUUCACCCUCUGCCUUUUCUCUUCCCCUGCCACAGCCACUGAGGACAUUCUAGCUGCUCAGGAUGCAAAAUGAUGGAGCUGCUGGCAGCCUGAAUCCCCAAGUGACUGUGUGGAGCAGAGCCUCCACCUGACUACCAAAAACUACCAGGAUCUGGUGUUACUUGUUACAGCAACGUAACCCAGGCUCUCCUGAUGAUGAGUACUCUGAUGAGGCUCUUGCUUCACAGAGGAGGUGACAAUUAAGCCUUGAGGAGACACACAUGUGCAUGUGUGGUUGCGACCUCUGUGGGCACGGGUCUGUAUGAGCACACAUCUUUGUGCAACUCAGGUUGUGUGUGCGUUUGUGUGUGUAUCUAUGGGUUAUCUCUGGGUCUAGCUCUAGUUCUGUGGGGUCUGGCACAAACUAAGGUGUCAGUAUGUGAGUGGGUGUCUGGUGUUGAGGGGUCAGAUACAGUGAGCACAGUACAAGCGAAUAUGAGGGGAGGAUGUGAUGACAGUGAAUAGAUGCUUUCAAAAUCAUCAGGAAGAAAAAGACGUGGGACACACUGGUAGCUCCAGAGGUGAGUCCUGAGUCCUGCGCCCCUGGGGGCCAGCUUUAGAGCCACGCCAUGAUUUAUUAAUCUGUAGUUGCUGUGGGAGCGUGGCUCUUUCUGGAGGGGCAAGCAUGAACCACGUCAGUCCCACCACGGGUCGGGUUGGCACGAUGUGUUCAUUGCCCACAUGACUCACUGUUUUGUUACCUGAAAUACAUCUAAUUCCUAUUAAUAACGAGCACUGUAGGGCAUACAUUUCAUCAUUAGCAUUAAAUGACUUUAUUGCAGGAUACAAAGGAGCUGCCUGUGAUGUAUGAUGCAACUGCUGGAGCGAGGGCCUUUGGAGAGAGGGCGUGUGUGCACACGAACACGCACACACAUGAGCUCUCUUAUGUCCUGGUCAUUGUGCAAUGAGGGUGUGUAUCACAGGCAGACAACUUUUCUUGCACACUUCAGCACCUCCUGAAGCGAAUAUUUUGUUUGCUCGGCUUACCAAUGGGGUGCCGGGAAGGCCACUGUGCCCCUAGUUGGUGUGGUACCCUAGGCCCAAGACAGGAACUUGUUUUCCUGAGAGUCUGUGCAGGCCAAGUGCAGGGCUAAAGGCCUUCAAAACUCUUACCUGAAAGAAACCCAGGACCUAUCUGUGGGUAGCAGUUGCAAGCCUCAUUUUACGUAUGAGGAAACUGAGACUCCCAGAGCCCAGAGGACCUGCCUAAGGUGUGCGGUGGAGCAACUGCUUAAAUCCUGCCAGGCCUGGCCCUCUAUGCUCUUCCACGUGAACUUGAACCUUUGUUAGGUGCUCUGCCC